This 1132-nucleotide long non-coding RNA is filed under the name Salmo salar (Atlantic salmon). RNAcentral describes it as "lncRNA (ENSSSAG00000114909.1)". The record is from RNAcentral. Lineage: Eukaryota; Metazoa; Chordata; Actinopteri; Salmoniformes; Salmonidae.
GGUAAAUCAUGCUGUGUUUAUUGUACGGAGAGAGAAACUCUUCAGAAAUAACACCAAUACAAGAUAUCAGGUGUUUAAAUAUGGACAUAUUGGUCCCAUAGCAUUCACCAGCAACAUGAACAUGUUCAGGACAAUCAGGAAGGUAGAGGACAUGAGCAUGUUCAGGACAAUCAGGAAAAUAAAGGACAUGAGCAUGUUCAGGACAAUCAGGAAGAUAAAGGACAUGAGCAUGUUCAGGACAAUCAGGAAGGUAGAGGACAUGAACAUGUUCAGGACAAUCAGGAAGGUAGAGGACAUGUUCAGGACAAUCAGGAAGGUAGAGGACAUGAGCAUGUUCAGGACAAUCAGGAAGAUAGGACAUGUUCAGGACAAUCAGGAAGGUAGAGGACAUGAGCAUGUUCAGGACAAUCAGGAAGGUAGAGGACAUGAGCAUGUUCAGGACAAUCAGGAAGAUAGGACAUGUUCAGGACAAUCAGGAAGGUAGAGGACAUGAACAUGUUCAGGACAAUCAGGAAGGUAGAGGACAUGUUCAGGACAAUCAGGAAGGUAGAGGAGAUGUUCAGGACAAUCAGGAAGGUAGAGGAGAUGUUCAGGACAAUCAGGAAGGGAGAGGACAUGUUCAGGACAAUCAGGAAGGUAGAGGACAUGAACAUGUUCAGGACAAUCAGGAAGGUAGAGGACAUGAACAUGUUCAGGACAAUCAGGAAGGUAGAGGACAUGUUCAGGACAAUCAGGAAGGUAGAGGACAUGAACAUGUUCAGGACAAUCAGGAAGGUAGAGGACAUGAACAUGUUCAGGCCAAUCAGGAAGAUAGAGGACAUGAACAUGUUCAGGACAAUCAGGAAGGUUGAGGACAUGUUCAGGACAAUCAGGAAGGUAGAGGCUAGAAACAUUUCAAUCAAACAGCCCAGAAACACAAUAUUACACAUUCAGUGUGAAAGUUAGACAUUGUAUAACAUGUAGAACAUUAAAUAAUAAAUAUAGUGUCAAAGCUUUUUACCCUCUAAACUGGACUUGAUGGGAAUGAAGACAGGAGAUAUGAGGGGGGUGAUACUGAUGGGAGAUAUGGGGGGGGUGAUACUGAUGGGAGAUAUGGGGGGGGGUGAUACUGAUGGGAGAUAUGAGGGGGGGG